Alnus glutinosa is the source of this 633-nucleotide long non-coding RNA. RefSeq lists it as uncharacterized. The record is from RefSeq and is a predicted model, not a curated record. The transcript has 2 exons. Lineage: Eukaryota; Viridiplantae; Streptophyta; Magnoliopsida; Fagales; Betulaceae.
AUCCGAUCCUCAACCCAUCCACACUAAUGUGCACUGCUUUCUUCACCUACAAAUCCAAGAAACCCCAGAAUAUAUUUAUAUAUAUAUCUUAACCAUUAAGCUAGGCUUUAAUUCUUUCUCCGACGACAAGAAAAAGAAAAGAGAAAAAAUCGUCAUCUUUUCUUGGAAGUCUAUAUAAAGAGGACUAGUAUAUGCAUAUGUUUAGUUCAUUUCCAUUAACUACAUUGCAAGCUUAGCCAAACAAGUCGUUUGUCAAGGAAGAAAGAGAAAGAGAGCUAGCGAUGCCUCCGCCACCGGGGCCUUAUGGCCCUCCAGGACCAUUUGGUUGCUUUCAUGUUCUCUGUGGGGGUAUAUGCCGCCUUGCAUCUUCUUGUUUAUAUGUGCUGUGCUGCUGCUGCCUCCUAGAGAGCUGCUGUGGACCACUGUUUGGGCCACCAGGCCCACCCGGCCCACCUGGUCCUUUUGGGCCCCCCCGCUUCUGAUCAUCAGCUAACUUCCAAACAUGUGGUGUAAUAUUUAUUUUUAUAAUUGCUAGUCGUCAUCUUCAAUUCCUGCAUUAAUCUCAUGGGUGGUGUUUGGGAAUGCAUGUGAUGGGGAAUAACAAUGAAAAUGGGCAACUUGUUACGGAACCAA